This is an RNA transcript of Salvelinus fontinalis (brook trout), 3994 nucleotides long. It is a transcript of the gene named membrane associated ring-CH-type finger 4b, with no coding region annotated. The transcript has 2 exons. The record is from RefSeq and is a predicted model, not a curated record. Lineage: Eukaryota; Metazoa; Chordata; Actinopteri; Salmoniformes; Salmonidae.
UCACCCCGCUCCUCCGCUCUCUCCACUGGCUUCCAGUUGAAGCUCGCAUCCGCUACAAGACCAUGGUGCUUGCCUACGGAGCUGUGAGGGGAACGGCACCUCAGUACCUUCAGGCUCUGAUCAGGCCCUACACCCAAACAAGGGCACUGCGUUCAUCCACCUCUGGCCUGCUCGCCUCCCUACCACUGAGGAAGUACAGUUCCCGCUCAGCCCAGUCAAAACUGUUCGCUGCUCUGGCACCCCAAUGGUGGAACAAACUCCCUCACGACGCCAGGACAGCGGAGUCAAUCACCACCUUCCGGAGACACCUGAAACCCCACCUCUUCAAGGAAUACCUAGGAUAGGAUAAAGCAAUCCUUCUGCCCCCCCCCCCCCUUAAAAGAUUUAGAUGCACUAUUGUAAAGUGGUUGUUCCACUGGAUGUCAUUAGGUGAAUGCACCAAUUUGUAAGUCGCUCUGGAUAAGAGCGUCUGCUAAAUGACUUAAAUGUAAAUGUAAUGUAAUGUAUUUCCUCUCUCCUCUGUAUUUCCUCUCUCCUCUGUAUUUCCUCUCUACUCUGUAUUUCCUCUGUAUUUCCUGUCUCCUCUGUAUUUCCUCUGUAUUUCCUCUCUCCUCUGUAUUUCCUCUCUGCUCUGUAUUUCCUCUCUACUCUGUAUUUCCUCUGUAUUUCCUGUCUCCUCUGUAUUUCCUCUGUAUUUCCUGUCUCCUCUGUAUUUCCUCUGUAUUUCCUGUCUGCUCUGUAUUUCCUCUGUAUUUCCUCUUUCCUCUGUAUUUCAUCUGUAUUUCCUGUCUCCUCUGUAUUUCCUCUGUAUUUCCUCUCUCCUCUUUUUUUCCUCUGUAUUUCCUCUGUAUUUCCUCUUUAUUUCCUCGGUAUUUCCUCUCUACUCUGUAUUUCCUCUGUAUUUCCUCUCUACUCUGUAUUUCCUCUCUACUCUGUAUUUCCUCUGUAUUUCCUCUCUACUCUGUAUUUCCUCUCUGCUCUGUAUUUCCUGUCUACUCUGUAUUUCCUCUCUGCUCUGUAUUUCCUCUCUACUCUGUAUUUCCUCUCUACUCAGUAUUUCCUGUCUGCUCAGUAUUUCCUCUCUGCUCUGUAUUUCGUCUGUAUUUCCUCUGUAUUUCCUCUCUACUCUGUAUUUCCUCUGUAUUUCCUCUCUCCUCUGUAUUUCCUCUUCCCUCUGUAUUUCCUCUGUAUUUCCUCUCUCCUCUGUAUUUCCUCUCUGCUCUGUAUUUCCUCUCUCUGUAUUUCCUCUCUCCUCUGUAUUUCCUCUCUCCUCUGUAUUUCCUCUCUGCUCUGUAUUUCCUCUCUCCUCUGUAUUUCCUCUCUCCUCUGUAUUUCCUCUCUGCUCUGUAUUUCCUGUCUGCUCUGUAUUUCCUCUCUACUCUGUAUUUCCUGUCUCCUCUGUAUUUCCUGUCUCCUCUGUAUUUCCUCUGUAUUUCCUCUCUCCUCUGUAUUUCCUCUCUCCUCUGUAUUUCCUCUCUACUCUGUAUUUCCUCUGUAUUUCCUGUCUCCUCUGUAUUUCCUCUGUAUUUCCUCUCUCCUCUGUAUUUCCUCUCUGCUCUGUAUUUCCUCUCUACUCUGUAUUUCCUCUGUAUUUCCUGUCUCCUCUGUAUUUCCUCUGUAUUUCCUGUCUCCUCUGUAUUUCCUCUGUAUUUCCUGUCUGCUCUGUAUUUCCUCUGUAUUUCCUCUUUCCUCUGUAUUUCAUCUGUAUUUCCUGUCUCCUCUGUAUUUCCUCUGUAUUUCCUCUCUCCUCUUUUUUUCCUCUGUAUUUCCUCUGUAUUUCCUCUUUAUUUCCUUGGUAUUUCCUCUCUACUCUGUAUUUCCUCUGUAUUUCCUCUCUACUCUGUAUUUCCUCUCUACUCUGUAUUUCCUCUGUAUUUCCUCUCUGCUCUGUUUUUCCUCUCUGCUCUGUAUUUCCUGUCCGCUCUGUAUUUCCUCUCUGCUCUGUAUUUCCUGUCCGCUCUGUAUUUCCUCUCUGCUCUGUAUUUCCUGUCCGCUCUGUAUUUCCUCUCUGCUCUGUAUUUCCUCUCUACUCUGUAUUUCAGCAUCCUGUUUCUAUCCAUCCAGUCCCUCUAAGCAAAAGAGCUAUGUAAUCCUGUUCAAUAUACAACAACAGUCAAAAGUUUGGGCACACCUACUCAAGUUUUUAUUUUAUUUUUACUAUUUUCUACAUUGUAGAAUAAUAGCGAACACAUCAAACAUAUGAAAUAACACAUAUGGAAUCAUGUAGUAACCAAAAAACUGUUAAACAAAUCAAAAUAUAUUUUAUAUUUGAGAUUCUUCAAAGUAGCCACCCUUUGCCUUGAUGGCAACUUUGCACACUCUUGGCAUUCUGUCAACCAGCUUCACGAAGUAGUCACCUGGAAUGCAUUUCAAUUAACAGGUGUGCCUUGUUAAAAGUUAAUUUGUGGAAUUUCUUUCCUUAUUUUCCUUUCCUUAAGUGAAUCAGUUGUGUUGUGACAAGGUAAGGGUGGAAUACAGAAGAUAGCACUAUUUGGUAAAAGACAAAGUCCAUAUUGUGGCAAGAACAACUCAAAUAGGCAAAGAGAAACGACAGUCCAUCAUUACUUUAAGACAUGAAGGUCAGUAAAUCCGGAAAAAUUCAAGAACUUUGAAAGUUUCUUCAAGUGCAGUCACAAAAACUAUCAAGCACUAUGAUGAAACUGGCUCUCAUGGGGACCGCCACAGGAAAGGAAGACCCAGAGUUACCUCUGCUGCAGGGGAUAAGUUCAUUAGAGUUACCAGCCUCAGAAAUUGUAACCCAAAUAAAUCAAAUGUAUUUAUAAAGCCAUUCUUAAUUCAGCUGAUAUCUCAAAGUGCUGUACAGAAACCCAGCCUAAAACCCCAAACAGCAAGCAAUGCAAGUGUAGAAGCACGGUGGCUAGGAGAAAAACUCCCUAGAAAGGCAGAAACCUAGGAAGAAACAUAGAGAGGAACCAGACUCUGAGGGGUGGCCAGUCCUCUUCUGGCUGUGCUGGGUGGAGAUUAUAACAGGACAUGGCCAAGAUGUUCAAACGUUCAUAGAUGACCAGCAGGGUCAUCAGCUGAUGUAAGAAGGGCUUUAUAAAUACAUUUGAUUGAGAGAGAGAGAAAGAGAGGGAGAGAAAGAGAGAAUCAGAGGGAGCAUACUUAAAUUCACACAGAACGCCGGAUAAGACAGGAGAAAUACUCCAGAUAUAACAGACUGACCAUAGCCCCCCGACACAUAAACUACUGCAGCAUAAAUACUGGAGGCUGAGACAGGAGGGGUCAGGAGACACUGUGGCCCCAUCCAACAAUACCCCCGGACAGGGCCAAACAGGAAGGAUAUAACCCCACCCACUUUGCCAAAGCACAGCCCCCACACCACUAGAGGGAUAUCUUCAACCACCAACUUACCAUCCUCUGACAAGGCCGAGUAUAGCCCACAAAGAUAUCCCCUACGGCAUGAACCCGAGGGGGGCGUCAACCCGGACAGGAAGAUCAUGUCAGAGACUCAACCCACUCGAUUGAAGCACCCAUCUCCACAUGUGUGGUUCCCAUCGUGAAGCAUGGAGGAGGAGGUGUGAUGGUGUGGGUGUGCUUUGCUGGUGACACUGUCUGUGAUUUAUUUAGAACUCAAGGCAUACUUAACCAGCACGGCAAUCUCAGCAUUCUGCAUCAUCCCAUCCUAUCUGGUUUGCGCUUAGUUGGACUAUCAUUUGUUUUUCAACAGGACAAUGACCCAACAUACCUCCAGGGUGUGUAAGGGCUAUUUGACCAAUAAGGAGAGUGAUGGGGUGCUGCAUCAGAUGACCUGGCCUCCACAGUCACCUGACCUCAACCCAACUGAGAUGGUUUGGGAUGAGUCGGACCACAGAGUGAAGGAAAAGCAGACAACAAGUGCUCAGCAUAUUUGGGAACUCCUUCAAGACUGUUGCAAAUGCAUUCCAGGGGGAGCUGCUGAGCCCGUGUCGCUGCAGUGGGUCGGUCCGCUGUACCCACCAGCCCUGCCUCAUCAAGUGGAUCAGUGAGAGAG